RNAcentral lists this ribosomal RNA (100 nucleotides) under Nannospalax galili (Upper Galilee mountains blind mole rat). Lineage: Eukaryota; Metazoa; Chordata; Mammalia; Rodentia; Spalacidae. The record is from RNAcentral.
GUCUAUGGCCAUACCACCCUGAACACGCCCGAUCUCAUCUGGUUUCGGAUGCUAAGCAGGGUCGGGCCUGGUUAGUAACUGGAUGGAGAGACUAUAGACC